This 253-nucleotide ribosomal RNA is filed under the name uncultured bacterium. RNAcentral describes it as "partial 16S ribosomal RNA". It matches the Rfam family "Bacterial small subunit ribosomal RNA", at positions 524 to 776 of the family's 1533-position model. The record is from RNAcentral.
UACGGAGGGUGCGAGCGUUGUCCGGAAUCACUGGGCGUAAAGCGCACGUAGGCGGCUUGUUAAGUCAGGGGUGAAAUCCUGGAGCUCAACUCCAGAACUGCCUUUGAUACUGGCGAGCUUGAGUCCGGGAGAGGUGAGUGGAACUGCGAGUGUAGAGGUGAAAUUCGUAGAUAUUCGCAAGAACACCAGUGGCGAAGGCGGCUCACUGGCCCGUAACUGACGCUGAGGCACGAAAGCGUGGGGAGCAAACAGG